Molecule: ribosomal RNA, 361 nt
Filed under: uncultured bacterium
Lineage: Bacteria
Description: partial 16S ribosomal RNA
Rfam family: Bacterial small subunit ribosomal RNA
Source: RNAcentral
CCUACGGGUGGCAGCAGUGGGGGAUAUUGCACAAUGGGGGGAACCCUGAUGCAGCGACGCCGCGUGGGUGAAGAAGCGCCUCGGCGCGUAAAGCCCUGUCAGCAGGGAAGAAAAUGACGGUACCUGAAGAAGAAGCCCCGGCUAACGACGUGCCAGCAGCCGCGGUAAUACGUAGGGGGCAAGCGUUAUCCGGAUUUACUGGGGGGAAAGGGGGCGCAGACGGCGAUGCAGGCCAGGAGUGAAAGCCCGGGGCCCAACCCCGGGACUGCUCUUGGAACUGCGUGGCUGGAGUGCAGGAGGGGCAGGCGGAAUUCCUGGUGUAGCGGUGAACUGCGUCGAUAUCAGGAGGCACCCCGGUGGC